Molecule: ribosomal RNA, 253 nt
Filed under: uncultured bacterium
Lineage: Bacteria
Description: partial 16S ribosomal RNA
Rfam family: Bacterial small subunit ribosomal RNA
Source: RNAcentral
UACGAAGGGGGCGAGCGUUGUUCGGAUUUACUGGGCGUAAAGGGCGCGUAGGCGGCGCGAGAAGUCGAGUGUGAAAGCCCCGGGCUCAACCUGGGAAUUGCGCUCGAUACUCUUGUGCUUGAGUUCGGGAGAGGAGCGUGGAAUUCCCAGUGUAGAGGUGAAAUUCGUAGAUAUCGGGAGGAACACCGGUGGCGAAGGCGGCCCCCUGGUUGGAUACUGACGCUGAGACGCGAAAGCGUGGGGAGCAAACAGG